UUAAGCGACUAAGCGUACACGGUGGAUGCCCUGGCAGUCAGAGGCGAUGAAGGACGUGCUAAUCUGCGAUAAGCGUCGGUAAGGUGAUAUGAACCGUUAUAACCGGCGAUUUCCGAAUGGGGAAACCCAGUGUGAUUCGUCACACUAUCAUUAACUGAAUCCAUAGGUUAAUGAGGCGAACCGGGGGAACUGAAACAUCUAAGUACCCCGAGGAAAAGAAAUCAACCGAGAUUCCCCCAGUAGCGGCGAGCGAACGGGGAGGAGCCCAGAGCCUGAAUCAGUAUGUGUGUUAGUGGAAGCGUCUGGAAAGGCGUGCGAUACAGGGUGACAGCCCCGUACACAAAAAUGCACAUGCUGUGAGCUCGAUGAGUAGGGCGGGACACGUGGUAUCCUGUCUGAAUAUGGGGGGACCAUCCUCCAAGGCUAAAUACUCCUGACUGACCGAUAGUGAACCAGUACCGUGAGGGAAAGGCGAAAAGAACCCCGGCGAGGGGAGUGAAAAAGAACCUGAAACCGUGUACGUACAAGCAGUGGGAGCCUCUUUAAUGGGGUGACUGCGUACCUUUUGUAUAAUGGGUCAGCGACUUAUAUUCUGUAGCAAGGUUAACCGAAUAGGGGAGCCGAAGGGAAACCGAGUCUUAACUGGGCGUUAAGUUGCAGGGUAUAGACCCGAAACCCGGUGAUCUAGCCAUGGGCAGGUUGAAGGUUGGGUAACACUAACUGGAGGACCGAACCGACUAAUGUUGAAAAAUUAGCGGAUGACUUGUGGCUGGGGGUGAAAGGCCAAUCAAACCGGGAGAUAGCUGGUUCUCCCCGAAAGCUAUUUAGGUAGCGCCUCGUGAAUUCAUCUCCGGGGGUAGAGCACUGUUUCGGCAAGGGGGUCAUCCCGACUUACCAACCCGAUGCAAACUGCGAAUACCGGAGAAUGUUAUCACGGGAGACACACGGCGGGUGCUAACGUCCGUCGUGAAGAGGGAAACAACCCAGACCGCCAGCUAAGGUCCCAAAGUCAUGGUUAAGUGGGAAACGAUGUGGGAAGGCCCAGACAGCCAGGAUGUUGGCUUAGAAGCAGCCAUCAUUUAAAGAAAGCGUAAUAGCUCACUGGUCGAGUCGGCCUGCGCGGAAGAUGUAACGGGGCUAAACCAUGCACCGAAGCUGCGGCAGCGACACUAUGUGUUGUUGGGUAGGGGAGCGUUCUGUAAGCCGUUGAAGGUGGCCUGUGAGGGUUGCUGGAGGUAUCAGAAGUGCGAAUGCUGACAUAAGUAACGAUAAAGCGGGUGAAAAGCCCGCUCGCCGGAAGACCAAGGGUUCCUGUCCAACGUUAAUCGGGGCAGGGUGAGUCGACCCCUAAGGCGAGGCCGAAAGGCGUAGUCGAUGGGAAACAGGUUAAUAUUCCUGUACUUGGUGUUACUGCGAAGGGGGGACGGAGAAGGCUAUGUUGGCCGGGCGACGGUUGUCCCGGUUUAAGCGUGUAGGCUGAUUUUCCAGGCAAAUCCGGAGAAUCAAGGCUGAGGCGUGAUGACGAGGCACUACGGUGCUGAAGCAACAAAUGCCCUGCUUCCAGGAAAAGCCUCUAAGCAUCAGGUAACAUCAAAUCGUACCCCAAACCGACACAGGUGGUCAGGUAGAGAAUACCAAGGCGCUUGAGAGAACUCGGGUGAAGGAACUAGGCAAAAUGGUGCCGUAACUUCGGGAGAAGGCACGCUGAUAUGUAGGUGAAGCGACUUGCUCGUGGAGCUGAAAUCAGUCGAAGAUACCAGCUGGCUGCAACUGUUUAUUAAAAACACAGCACUGUGCAAACACGAAAGUGGACGUAUACGGUGUGACGCCUGCCCGGUGCCGGAAGGUUAAUUGAUGGGGUCAGCCGCAAGGCGAAGCUCUUGAUCGAAGCCCCGGUAAACGGCGGCCGUAACUAUAACGGUCCUAAGGUAGCGAAAUUCCUUGUCGGGUAAGUUCCGACCUGCACGAAUGGCGUAAUGAUGGCCAGGCUGUCUCCACCCGAGACUCAGUGAAAUUGAACUCGCUGUGAAGAUGCAGUGUACCCGCGGCAAGACGGAAAGACCCCGUGAACCUUUACUAUAGCUUGACACUGAACAUUGAGCCUUGAUGUGUAGGAUAGGUGGGAGGCUUUGAAGUGUGGACGCCAGUCUGCAUGGAGCCGACCUUGAAAUACCACCCUUUAAUGUUUGAUGUUCUAACGUGGACCCGUGAUCCGGGUUGCGGACAGUGUCUGGUGGGUAGUUUGACUGGGGCGGUCUCCUCCUAAAGAGUAACGGAGGAGCACGAAGGUUGGCUAAUCCUGGUCGGACAUCAGGAGGUUAGUGCAAUGGCAUAAGCCAGCUUGACUGCGAGCGUGACGGCGCGAGCAGGUGCGAAAGCAGGUCAUAGUGAUCCGGUGGUUCUGAAUGGAAGGGCCAUCGCUCAACGGAUAAAAGGUACUCCGGGGAUAACAGGCUGAUACCGCCCAAGAGUUCAUAUCGACGGCGGUGUUUGGCACCUCGAUGUCGGCUCAUCACAUCCUGGGGCUGAAGUAGGUCCCAAGGGUAUGGCUGUUCGCCAUUUAAAGUGGUACGCGAGCUGGGUUUAGAACGUCGUGAGACAGUUCGGUCCCUAUCUGCCGUGGGCGCUGGAGAACUGAGGGGGGCUGCUCCUAGUACGAGAGGACCGGAGUGGACGCAUCACUGGUGUUCGGGUUGUCAUGCCAAUGGCACUGCCCGGUAGCUAAAUGCGGAAGAGAUAAGUGCUGAAAGCAUCUAAGCACGAAACUUGCCCCGAGAUGAGUUCUCCCUGAGACUUUAAGUCUCCUGAAGGAACGUUGAAGACGACGACGUUGAUAGGCCGGGUGUGUAAGCGCAGCGAUGCGUUGAGCUAACCGGUACUAAUGAACCGUGAGGCUUAACCU
RNAcentral lists this ribosomal RNA (2902 nucleotides) under Escherichia marmotae. RNAcentral's name for it is "bacterial LSU rRNA". It matches the Rfam family "Bacterial large subunit ribosomal RNA". Lineage: Bacteria; Pseudomonadati; Pseudomonadota; Gammaproteobacteria; Enterobacterales; Enterobacteriaceae. The record is from RNAcentral.